UCUAGAACUCAAGAUAUGGGCUGAACACUGAACAGUGUCUGAGCUGCAGGACAGAUUCAGACUUCUCUGUUGUUGCUACAAUUUGGACUUGAAAACGGUCUUUUUAAAUCUUAGACUCCGCAUGAAAGUUUUAGGCCUAUGUCUUAGCUUUCAAUC
Populus trichocarpa (black cottonwood) is the source of this 156-nucleotide non-coding RNA. Lineage: Eukaryota; Viridiplantae; Streptophyta; Magnoliopsida; Malpighiales; Salicaceae. The record is from Rfam.